RNAcentral lists this long non-coding RNA (7462 nucleotides) under Podarcis lilfordi (Lilford's wall lizard). The record is from RNAcentral. Lineage: Eukaryota; Metazoa; Chordata; Lepidosauria; Squamata; Lacertidae.
CUCUGUUAUUAGUUGACUGUGUGCUAAUAAUAGGACACUGGAACAUUUUCAUGCUUAUUAAUAGAAUCAUGUCAAUUUUCUAGAAAACUUGCAGUCUUCUUUUUCCACGAUAAAAAGUACAGCAUUCACCAUUCACACUUUAUAGUCAUUUUAAUAGGCAAUUACAAAGCCAUUAUAACUCUCCAUGUUCUCCUGCUAAUAGGAAAUACAGAGUACACUAUAUAUACACUGUUGUAUUGUUAAUUUUCCCUUCUCCAUAGCCAGGAAAAUGGUUGAAGGAGAAGAGCAGCACUUCUGAUUUGUGUUUACUUGGAAGUCCCACAGAAUUCAAUGGUAUUUGCUCCCCCGAAAGUGUGUUAUAGGUUGCAUUUAAUGUUAAACCCACCCAGAAUAGACCAAUUGAAAAUUAUGGGCAUAACUAACUUAGGUUGGGACGCGGGUGGCGCUAUGGGUUAAACCACAGAGCCUAGGACUUGCUGAUCAGAAGGUCAGCGGUUCGAAUCCCCAUGACGGGGUGAGUUCCCGUUGCUCAGUCCCUGCUCCUGCCAACCUAGCAGUUCGAAAGCACGUCAAAGUGCAAGUAGAUAAAUAGGUACCGCUCCAGCAGGAAGGUAAACGGCGUUUCUGUGCGCUGCUCUGGUUCACCAGAAGCGGCUUAGUCAUGCUGGCCACAUGACCCGGAAGCUGUACGCCGGCUCCCUCGGCCAAUAAAGCGAGAUGAACGCCGCAACCCCAGAGUCGGUCACGACUGGACCUAAUGGUCAGGGGUCCCUUUACCUUUAACUUAGGUCCAGAAAUGUUAAUGGGUCUACCCUGAGUAGAACAGCUGGUUACAAACUAUAGGACUUUACUGUCUUUUGGAGAAGUAAAAAUCCAGAUCAGUGUAUCUGAGAGCUAUUGGGCUAUAAUCAGGGUGUCUCAAGUGACUGUAUUGUAUUGAAGUUGCUGGAAAAGCAUGCCUGUAUUUUUCCAUGGGGCUUGAGCAGUGAUAUUUUUCUAGAAAAAGAGUUGCCAGAACUCAUCAUGAACUCCUCUAUUGUUCUCUUGCAAUGACAAUGGUGAUCACCUGAGAUGUGCCAAAACUGUGUUCUGGUAAGUUCCAGCUGGGAAAAAAGCCCUGGGCUUGAGAUGGAGACCUGCUGUAAAUUUCCAUUACAGAGGUGGAGUGAUCUAACUCUUUACAGCCCAGUCACAUGCAGUCACAAUACUUGGAUGGGGUUACAAGAUGUUUGCAUAUGUUAAUGAAGAAAGUCCUCCAUCAUAGACCACAUUGGUUUUUGUUCUCAACUGCUGAGAAGAACAGACGUGCUUUCUCCCUGGAAAAAGCAGCCUGAGGCAAAUAGGUUGGAAAUGGGAGAGAGAAGGAGGUUUGAAUAAUAAAGUCAUGUCUUUACUGAGAGUGGUAUAUAUCUGAUGCAACAUAUUUCCAUUGUUUUUGUAAUGUUUGGAGCUAAGUUCUGUUAGUAAAGCUUUUUGAACCAUUUUUGGGGGGCUGGAGAAGUUAAUUUCUAAAUGGGAAUUAGUUUACAAAGAGAAAAAGUUCUGCUUGAGUUAAUUUACAAAAUCCGUCAAAGCAGAACUUUGCACUUCUACAGUUAAAGUUUCAAAAUUUUUAUUAUUAUUAUUAUUAUUAUUAUUAUUAUUAUUAUUAUUAUUAUUUACACUCCCCACCCACCUUUUCUCUUUUUCCUAAAGAUAUUCUGUAAUGCUGCUGCCUUGGCAAUCAUCACCAUAUUUUUUCCCCUUUCUCCAUUUGUUUUAUUCUUCCAUUAUUGUUAUGGCCAACGCAUUGCACCGCCUGCCUCUGAUUCUCUCUCUCUCCCUAACCACUAAAGUCUCAUAACAAACCGACAGAAACAUUUACCUGAGGAAGCUUAACAAAAAGAAAACCCCCCAAAGAAUAUAGAACAUGCUGCCCAUCAUGAUGCUACUAACACACACAAAAACCUCUUUGCUAAAAAAACCACGUCCUUUGAAUACAUUUCCAUGAAAGGUCAGGUAAAGGGUUAGAACUACUGGGGUUUUGUCCUCAGAGAGGGAGGGAUUCCAAACAGCCGAGCGUUUUAAACAUUUAUCUAAAAAUAAAAAUUUAAAAGAUAGGUGCUCAGCCUACCAAAAUAGAUUUAAUUUUCUUUUAAUGUUCCUGUAAGCCUGCCAAGAUUUAAAUUGGAUGUCUGGAUUCAAUUCUGGUGGAAGGAAAAUGAUAUUACCCAGUGCAAGCCCACUUUGGGAAAGUUGAGAGCUUUAAAAGUUUUAUUUGCUCAUCAAAAUAACAUGCCCAAGCAGUGCACAGCCUACGAGUCUUUCAAAGGCAACCUAUUGCACACACCCAGAAGCUAUCCAUCUCCUGGCAUAUUUCAUAUGACUGUGCCAGGGGCAAAGUGUAAGGCUUUUAAAUAUCAGAGAGGAAUUCUUAUUUAAUUGACUCUCCAUUUGAUGGGCCUUGCCCACUUAUACCUAUCUGCUUCCCUUCCUUCAUUAAUUCGGCCUCACUGUGGUCAUCUGUCAUUCUGCUGCUUCUGAAGAUGCUCCACUCUAAUGUGCUCUUUGCUGCUGGAUGCUGUUGCUUCUGCCUCUUCUACUGGACCAAUGUAAGAGAAACAGAAGAGAAAAAGACUCUUUCGGAAACACAGGAGAUGAACAUCGCGUCAUCAAUUUUUGUCCUCUCUUCAUAUGCAAAGCACAACAUCCAGCAAUUAUCAAAUAAAUGGUUCUCAAGUUGUGAACGGUGUCUGUUCCAAUAUGCAACAGAACAAUCAAAUAUUUCAUUGGUCAUUCCUGUUUGAUUCCCCCCUCCAAUUUUCUCAGAAUCCUCUUUCGGAAAACUAUCAUUAUUAGGCUAUGCAUGGAACGUUAUCAUUUCCAGCCACUUACACUGGCUUAAAUUGUUUUAGGACUUUUUUCAUUAUUUUCUCUGGAAAAUUGUAACCGAUCCUCAAUUAGAGCCAUGUAUUAGAUGUCCAGACUAUUCUUUUUCUUAUUGUUAUUAGUCAAUCACUUUGCACAAAAGUCUCAGAGAGACUUCACAAAAUAAAUGCAACAAAUUUAAAACCUGGAAAAAAGCAAAAUACAAAAAUGCUAACCCAGAAUACAUAAAGUGCUUACCCAAUGACACACAUAUUGAUGACAAGUCCAUAUUAAUGAGCUAUAGAGGCAUCCAUACUAAGGCAUUUCUUGGUAACGGUGAACAAAUGCACUGUGAAAAUGGAAUAUAUUAUUUACAGUAUGAGAAGACUGAACGAAAUACACACACCUGAAUUCAACCCACAAUCCAGCAGCCACAUCUUACACUGGGUAGCACAGAAGUGAAUUGCAAGCUGUUGUGGAAAAGUUUUUUUAAAAAAAGGAUUAAAGAAAAGAAAACUUCACUCAACGAAACAGAACAGAAGAUGUGGAUGAAAAAUAUAUUAUGACCUCAUAUUAUAAAUGAACAGUUAGAGAAAGAAAUGGUUGGAAGCCAUGCAUAAGUCAGAAACACAUUCAAUCACUGGGAAAACUGUGCACAAUUCAACCACCUUGCUAUAAAAAUGGUUCUUAGAACAUUCUUUUUCAACGAGUUACAGGUGGCAAAAAUAACUGCAGUGUGAUUUUGGCAUUUGUUUUCUUCACAAAAGGUGUACAGGUAGUGGAAACAUUCAGUGGAUGGAAAGACACUAAACAGUAACCAGUAAACUAUCUGGUAGGCCUACAGAUGCUGCUGAACUACAGCUCCCAUCAGUGCCAGCCAGAAUGGCCAAUGGCCCAGGAUGAUGGGAGUUGUAUUAAACAGAUUCAUGCACCAUAUUACAGAAGAAACAGAAUAGAUGGACCUAAUGAGGCAGGCAUGGAUUUAGUUAAUCUUUCGUAAUAUGGCACCCAGUAUGAGGCCAAAAUUUGGUGCCCCAAAAUGGAUCUUCUCAAUUAUGGAUCUUCUCAAUUUUGCAUCCCUUCAGCUCUGCGCUCUGUGUGGGUGGAUGUCCCAAACAGCCUUAAAUCUAGCACUGAGUAUGGCCCAUCAUUGUGCUUUACAACAUUUUCAAGAUUUUGGACACUUCUGUUAGGAGAGAGAGUCCUCUUUUGAUGUUGAGUUGAUGAACUCCACAACUCACAGUCAGAACAUAUAAAGGUUCUUUUCCAGUUUCAGUGGUUGAGCUGGUUUUGAUAUGAAGACUUGAGUCAAAAUUCCUGUUUGCUUAUGGAGCUCCAUGGGUGGCCUCAGGAAAUGUACUGUCUACCUUUCUAACCCUCCAUAUUUAUUAUGUAGAAAAGUGAGACUGGUGCACACGUUACAUUUAAUUCUGCUUUCUCCCCUAAGAAGAAAUGUAAAAAAAAAGCCUCCAUUAAGAACCCUGCUGGCAUGUGCACCAAUCACAAAAUUCAUUGCUGACCAACUUGGGUCUGUCUAGGUCAGCUUCAUUUCUCCCUCUACCACUCACUAUUGAUUUUUAUUUUUUUUUAUUUUUAAUGCUAUAAUUUUCAUUUAACUUUUGAAAGAAGUGGAUGAAAUUUGCCUGCCAAAUUUCAGAAGGAUUGCUGUAGUGGUUUUCCUACAAGGGCAGCCAUUGCAAUUGGGUGAUGGGUGGUGUUUUUUUGUUUGUUUGUUUGUUUUAAGGAAUUGCUUAAUCUCUUCUAAUAUUUUGUGAGCAAUUAGUUUCAAAACUGCAGACAUGAAAACGGUGUCCCUGGGUAUUAGAAACAAAACGCACACACAGUGCCAAAUUGCAAACAAAUAGUCUGGCAUUUUUUGUGAUAACUAUCUUUGAAUUAUUUUUGUGUGUGUGUGUGGUGGGGUGGGGAAUUCAAAGUGAUUUACUUUCUAUGCAAAGUCGUUCCAUCCGAUUUCAAGAUUAACCUGUCAGUUAAAAUGAAGAUGUCCCUCUACCAUCUCCCCUCUACUUCCUGUAAUCUUUCUUAAGCUUAGAGACAUUUUCGCUCUUGCAAAGCUGCUCCCUCUCCAAAGCAUUGGAGACUGCUGCUAAAAUCAUUACCUCUGAUUAUAAACUAGACCUGUCAGUCACACAGCAGCUCCCCUCUCCCGCCUUCUGAUCCUGGUGUUUUCUUUAAGCUAGAGACAUAAGUUUUGAUUCUGCAAACCUGCUUGAGAUGGUGAGCUUAGAAAUAUAGUUAUGCUUUUAAUUGACAUUUGUCUGCAGCGUUUUCUAAAAUGUCUGGGUUGCUCAGACACUAUGAAUCACUUCAGGUGGCCGUGCACUGGGUAACUCGGCUCUAUAGAGAUUCUCCCUCACCUCAAAUGAACCCAAGGCUCCUCAGAGGCAUCCUGCCUCCGUUUGGGAUUCAUCCAGAUCCCAUAUACAGCCCUAGUGUGCUCCCCUGUUUAGUAUAUUUGUUACAUUACCAGCAUCUAUGUGAAGCCUGAAUGAGUAAUCAGGGUUCAGCAGACAGUACAAUAACAAUGUACAGUGGUACCUCGGGUUAAGUACUUAAUUCGUUCUGGAGUUCCGUUCUUAACCUGAAACUGUUCUUAACCUGAAGCACCACUUUAGCUAAUGGGGCCUCCUGCUGCCGCUGCGCCACCGGAGCACGAUUUCUGUUCUCAUCCUGAAGCAAAGUUCUUAACCUGAGGUACUAUUUCUGGGUUAGUGGAGUCUGUAACCUGAAGCGUAUGUAACAUGAAGUGUAUGUAACCCGAGGUACCACUGUACACUUGAGUACAUUCUUGGUUCUUUUGGAUUGUGACAGCUGUAUUGAAUUUGCAUUGCUUUCCUUUUUUAAAAAAACAACAACAACCAUAUGUAUAAUUUUUUUGGCAAAGCGUGUUUAAGGAGAUAACAGAAAUCACUGGGUUAAAACUGACCAAAAGUCCAGAGGUAGCACUAUUAUCAAUUUACGAUGGGGUGGAAGGUUCACAGGACUUGCUCACAAAUUUAUUGACAGCUGCACGAAUUAUGAUAGCUAGGAAGUGGAAGGGGCAAGCAGAAUAUAAAAUGGAAGAAUGGUAUAAAGAGGUGUGUGAUAUAGCUAUUAAUGAUAAAUUAACAUGUGUCAUUAAGGUAAGAUGGGGAAUAUGCAGGAGAAAUGGUUUUGAGGAGAUAUGGAGGGUGUUUGUAGAAUUUGUACUGUUAAAACGGAAAGGGGUCAAACCAUCUCAAGAGGUGUUGAAGUUUUGGGAGGUUGGGUAGUUACAAUGGAAUGGUCUUGGUGGUGGGGUGCACACUUUUAUUCUUAUUUAUUUAUGAUGAUUAUUUUGUCAAAAUAAAAUAACCCAUAAAACUAGAACCUGUCUUUCCUCCAAGAAGUUCAAGCUGGCAUACAUGGUUCUUACCAUGUCGUGCUAACAUCAAUACUGUGAGAGGUAGGUUAGGCUGAGCGACUAUGACUAGUAAUGAGCUGCAUGGCUGGGUGGGGAUUUGAACCCUGGUCUCCAGAUCCUAGUCCACUACAUACCACAUUGGCUUCCACUGAAUUUAUUUUCCAAUUUUGGCUUUUGUCUGUUGCCCAGUAGAACUGCUGUGCAUUUUUGUGUCUUAAAAGAACAACAGCAGCUGCAAAAGAUCUAGAGAGAACAAGGCCAGCACCUUGCAAUUUAUUGCCUUGUCAUAAUUGUUCAUUUGCCCCAGGAAGGAGUGUAUAAUAAAUCACUUAUCCAAAUGAGUUUGGGUAUUCUACGUUAAAGACAUUUGAGUUUAAAACUGCUAUUCUUGGCCAAUUUACAAUGGAUAAUUCUUGCUACCUGGUUAUGUCUCACAAGGUAAUCAAUACUUGACAGAGCAGGGCAACCUGUAAUGAUGCAAUCUAUUGACUGGGUGUGUGACUGCAUUCAUGCUGUUUGUCAUUAGUUGUAAUUUUGGGGACAAAUCUGUCAUUGGAUCUUGAAUGGCAGCUAUAAUAUACUCUGCUUGAACACGAAAGUUUGCUCUGUGUUCAAGAGUGUAAUUGAUUUCUUUACUCUUGGCAGGAGCAUCACUCAGACUCCAGCCCAUCUUCAUUUUGCAUCUCUUAGGAGCAGAAUUAGAGAAGGGGUAGGGCCAACUCCCCUCCUCUCCAGUCAUCCUCACCAGGAAUGAUGGGAGUUGUGGCCUAAGAGCAUGUAGAGGGCCAAAGGUUGUCCACUCCUGAAUUAGAGAUUUGAUUUGCUGAAUGGCGCUGUGGGUUAAACCACAGAGCCUAGGACUUGCCGAUCAGAAGGUCAGCGGUUCGAAUCCCCACGACGGGGUGAGCUCCCGUUGCUCGGUCCCUGCUCCUGCCAACCUAGCAGUUCGAAAGCACAUCAAAGUGCAAGCAGAUAAAUAGGUACUGCUCCGGUGGGAAGGUAAAUGGCGUUUCCGUGCGCUGCUCUGGUUCGCCAGAAGCAGCUUAGUCAUGCUGGCCACAUGACCCGGAGGCUGUACGCCAGUUCCCUUGGCCAGUAAAGUGAGAUGAGUGCCGCAACCCCAGAGUCAGCCACGACUGGACCUAAUGGUCAGGGGUCCCUUUACCUUUAACACAAUCUUAUUUCUUGGGAAGGGAGAAUUUGCAAUUGUUG